UGCUGUUGAGCGACUCUGGAGGUCUGGGACAGACUGCUGGGAAACCAGGCACUCGUCGCUUGGUGAAUGGGACACUGGGACAGUCAGUCACGUUACCAGGAUGUAUCUCAGGAGAAAACAUUUCAAUCCUCACUUGGGAUUACCGCAGUUCACCAACAACAGGAAAGGUUCCAUUAUGUACGAAAUCUCAAAACAGUCCAAUACAAUGUGACAAACAGGGAAUCAGGUUAAACCUGAAGGGUUGUAGUCUGGAAAUACAGAACCUAACAGAACACGAUCAAGGUCUAUAUGAAAUAAACUUAAGGACGAUCCUAGCUGUCCAUGAACAAGUGACAGAACUGAAGAUUUAUGAACGAGUGUCAUCACCAGUAAUAACUAUCAGUGAAGCCUUCACCGAAGGGGUGUGUAACGUUAGCUUGGUGUGUUCACUGGAGCACGGCACCGAGCCAGUCUACACUUGGUGGUCAGGAGAUGGCAAGGUCACGGCAGAUGGGUCGCACAUACUGACUGACGAAGGGAGAAGGCUGGCACUCUCCAUACCUCUACCCAACAACAACAGUGUGUACAACUGCACCGUGAGGAACCCUGUUAGUGAGGAGACGCGGAGCGUGGAUCUAACACAGCUAUGU
Long non-coding RNA from Amblyraja radiata (thorny skate), 629 nucleotides. RefSeq lists it as uncharacterized. NCBI's taxonomy places the organism in Eukaryota, Metazoa, Chordata, Chondrichthyes, Rajiformes, Rajidae. The transcript has 3 exons. The record is from RefSeq and is a predicted model, not a curated record.